UGCUAUACAUGCAGUCGAGCGAACAGAUGAGAAGCUUGCUUCUCUGAUGUUAGCGGCGGACGGGUGAGUAACACGUGGGUAACCUACCUAUAAGACUGGGAUAACUCCGGGAAACCGGGGCUAAUACCGGAUAAUAUUUUGAACCGCAUGGUUCAAUAGUGAAAGACGGUUUCGGCUGUCACUUAUAGAUGGACCCGCGCCGUAUUAGCUAGUUGGUAAGGUAACGGCUUACCAAGGCGACGAUACGUAGCCGACCUGAGAGGGUGAUCGGCCACACUGGAACUGAGACACGGUCCAGACUCCUACGGGAGGCAGCAGUAGGGAAUCUUCCGCAAUGGGCGAAAGCCUGACGGAGCAACGCCGCGUGAGUGAUGAAGGUCUUCGGAUCGUAAAACUCUGUUGUUAGGGAAGAACAAAUUUGUUAGUAACUGAACAAGUCUUGACGGUACCUAACCAGAAAGCCACGGCUAACUACGUGCCAGCAGCCGCGGUAAUACGUAGGUGGCAAGCGUUAUCCGGAAUUAUUGGGCGUAAAGCGCGCGUAGGCGGUUUCUUAAGUCUGAUGUGAAAGCCCACGGCUCAACCGUGGAGGGUCAUUGGAAACUGGGAAACUUGAGUGCAGAAGAGGAGAGUGGAAUUCCAUGUGUAGCGGUGAAAUGCGCAGAGAUAUGGAGGAACACCAGUGGCGAAGGCGGCUCUCUGGUCUGUAACUGACGCUGAUGUGCGAAAGCGUGGGGAUCAAACAGGAUUAGAUACCCUGGUAGUCCACGCCGUAAACGAUGAGUGCUAAGUGUUAGGGGGUUUCCGCCCCUUAGUGCUGCAGCUAACGCAUUAAGCACUCCGCCUGGGGAGUACGACCGCAAGGUUGAAACUCAAAGGAAUUGACGGGGACCCGCACAAGCGGUGGAGCAUGUKGUUUAAUUCGAAGCAACGCGAAGAACCUUACCAAAUCUUGACAUCCUUUGACCGCUCUAGAGAUAGAGUCUUCCCCUUCGGGGGACAAAGUGACAGGUGGUGCAUGGUUGUCGUCAGCUCGUGUCGUGAGAUGUUGGGUUAAGUCCCGCAACGAGCGCAACCCUUAAGCUUAGUUGCCAUCAUUAAGUUGGGCACUCUAGGUUGACUGCCGGUGACAAACCGGAGGAAGGUGGGGAUGACGUCAAAUCAUCAUGCCCCUUAUGAUUUGGGCUACACACGUGCUACAAUGGAUAAUCAAAGGGCAGCGAAUCCGCGAGGCCAAGCAAAUCCCAUAAAAUUAUUCUCAGUUCGGAUUGUAGUCUGCAACUCGACUACAUGAAGCUGGAAUCGCUAGUAAUCGUAGAUCAGCAUGCUACGGUGAAUACGUUCCCGGGUCUUGUACACACCGCCCGUCACACCACGAGAGUUUGUAACACCCGAAGCCGGUGGAGUAACCUUUUAG
This 1417-nucleotide ribosomal RNA is filed under the name Mammaliicoccus sciuri. Its description in RNAcentral is "bacterial SSU rRNA". It matches the Rfam family "Bacterial small subunit ribosomal RNA". The record is from RNAcentral. Lineage: Bacteria; Bacillati; Bacillota; Bacilli; Caryophanales; Staphylococcaceae.